AUGGAUAAAGCAUUUUCGAUUUUUGAAAGUUAUGCAUCUAUGAAGCCUUUUGAGCGAUUGUGGAGUUUGAAAGACUUGCAAACUCUGGAUUCAGUUCGUGCUAGUAAAGUUUUCAUUGCUAAACUUGGAAAUUUAUCUCAACUGAUGUCCCUUUGCAUCACUGGGGUAAGGAGCAUCUACUGUGCACAGUUGUGUGACUCUUUAUCAAAGAUGCACCAGCUCUCAACAUUAGAAAUAAUAGGCAGCAAUGAAGAUGAGGUGUUGGAGCUUGAAGCUUUAACAUUGUCAAAUCGUCUUAAAGAGCUCAGUUUCUCAGGGCGUAUUUCCGAAGGAACUUUAAAAUCCUUAUUUUUCUCAACCAACGGGGGUGCACUUCACAAUAUAUCUCUAUUUUGGUCAUAG
Molecule: ribosomal RNA, 402 nt
Filed under: Triticum aestivum (bread wheat)
Lineage: Eukaryota; Viridiplantae; Streptophyta; Magnoliopsida; Poales; Poaceae
Description: partial small subunit ribosomal RNA
Source: RNAcentral